GACGAACGCUGGCGGCGUGCCUAAUACAUGCAAGUAGAACGCUGAAGGAGGAGCUUGCUUCUCUGGAUGAGUUGCGAACGGGUGAGUAACGCGUAGGUAACCUGCCUGGUAGCGGGGGAUAACUAUUGGAAACGAUAGCUAAUACCGCAUAAGAGUAGAUGUUGCAUGACAUUUGCUUAAAAGGUGCAAUUGCAUCACUACCAGAUGGACCUGCGUUGUAUUAGCUAGUUGGUGAGGUAACGGCUCACCAAGGCAACGAUACAUAGCCGACCUGAGAGGGUGAUCGGCCACACUGGGACUGAGACACGGCCCAGACUCCUACGGGAGGCAGCAGUAGGGAAUCUUCGGCAAUGGACGGAAGUCUGACCGAGCAACGCCGCGUGAGUGAAGAAGGUUUUCGGAUCGUAAAGCUCUGUUGUAAGAGAAGAACGAGUGUGAGAGUGGAAAGUUCACACUGUGACGGUAUCUUACCAGAAAGGGACGGCUAACUACGUGC
RNAcentral lists this ribosomal RNA (496 nucleotides) under uncultured bacterium. RNAcentral describes it as "partial 16S ribosomal RNA". It matches the Rfam family "Bacterial small subunit ribosomal RNA", at positions 28 to 508 of the family's 1533-position model. The record is from RNAcentral.